AGAGAGUUAAACAGCACGUGAAAUUGUUGAAAGGGAAGCGCUUGCGACCAGACUCGCCCGCGGGGUUCAGCCGGCAUUCGUGCCGGUGUACUUCCCCGUGGGCGGCCCAGCGUCGGUUUGGGCGGCCGGUCAAAGGCCCCUGGAAUGUAGUGCCCUCCGGGGCACCUUAUAGCCAGGGGUGCAAUGCGGCCAGCCUGGACCGAGGAACGCGCUUCGGCUCGGACGCUGGCAUAAUGGUCGUAAACGACCCGUCUUGAAACACGGACCAAG
This 270-nucleotide ribosomal RNA is filed under the name Aspergillus niger. RNAcentral describes it as "partial 28S ribosomal RNA". It matches the Rfam family "Eukaryotic large subunit ribosomal RNA", at positions 382 to 670 of the family's 3401-position model. Lineage: Eukaryota; Fungi; Ascomycota; Eurotiomycetes; Eurotiales; Aspergillaceae. The record is from RNAcentral.